GGCUUUGUAGUGUAGUGGUUAUCACCCGGGAUUCUGAUGUUGCAGAGUUCCCGUGACCCAGGUUCGAUCCCUGGCAAGGCCU
RNAcentral lists this transfer RNA (82 nucleotides) under Schizophyllum amplum. RNAcentral describes it as "Auriculariopsis ampla tRNA". It matches the Rfam family "tRNA". From Rfam's summary of the family: Transfer RNA (tRNA) molecules are approximately 80 nucleotides in length. Their secondary structure includes four short double-helical elements and three loops (D, anti-codon, and T loops). Further hydrogen bonds mediate the characteristic L-shaped molecular structure. tRNAs have two regions of fundamental functional importance: the anti-codon, which is responsible for specific mRNA codon recognition, and the 3' end, to which the tRNAs corresponding amino acid is attached (by aminoacyl-tRNA synthetases). tRNAs cope with the degeneracy of the genetic code in two manners: having more than one tRNA (with a specific anti-codon) for a particular amino acid; and 'wobble' base-pairing, i.e. permitting non-standard base-pairing at the 3rd anti-codon position. The record is from Rfam by way of RNAcentral. Lineage: Eukaryota; Fungi; Basidiomycota; Agaricomycetes; Agaricales; Schizophyllaceae.